UACGGAGGGAGCUAGCGUUGUUCGGAAUUACUGGGCGUAAAGGGCUCGUAGGCGGCCAACUAAGUCAGACGUGAAAUCCCUCAGCUUAACUGGGGAACUGCGUCUGAUACUGGAUGGCUUGAGUUUGGGAGAGGGAUGCGGAAUUCCAGGUGUAGCGGUGAAAUGCGUAGAUAUCUGGAGGAACACCGGUGGCGAAGGCGGCAUCCUGGACCAACACUGACACUGAGGAGCGAAAGCCAGGGGAGCAAACGGG
This 253-nucleotide ribosomal RNA is filed under the name uncultured bacterium. RNAcentral describes it as "partial 16S ribosomal RNA". It matches the Rfam family "Bacterial small subunit ribosomal RNA", at positions 524 to 776 of the family's 1533-position model. The record is from RNAcentral.